GUCAACUUUGGUUAUUUUGGUUAUUACCGAAACCAAACCAAAAUAAAAUGGUUAUUACCAAAACCAAACUGUAUCUAUGUAUAAAACCGUAUAAACCGAAGUAUAAAAACCAUAUAAGCCAUAAAUCGAACCGAAUCAAACCGACAAAACCGAAUGCAUAGACUGAGGUACACGGUGACCCCCUCAACCACCUCGCCCUCACUACCAGUAAACUCAUC
RNAcentral lists this long non-coding RNA (218 nucleotides) under Hordeum vulgare. RNAcentral's name for it is "long non-coding RNA (HVUL_LNC016017)". Lineage: Eukaryota; Viridiplantae; Streptophyta; Magnoliopsida; Poales; Poaceae. The record is from RNAcentral.